This 525-nucleotide ribosomal RNA is filed under the name Winogradskyella sp. RNAcentral describes it as "bacterial SSU rRNA". It matches the Rfam family "Bacterial small subunit ribosomal RNA", at positions 380 to 905 of the family's 1533-position model. The record is from RNAcentral. Lineage: Bacteria; Pseudomonadati; Bacteroidota; Flavobacteriia; Flavobacteriales; Flavobacteriaceae.
AGCCUGAUCCAGCCAUGCCGCGUGCAGGAAGACUGCCCUAUGGGUUGUAAACUGCUUUUAUACGGGAAGAAACCCAUCUACGUGUAGGUGGCUGACGGUACCGUAAGAAUAAGCAUCGGCUAACUCCGUGCCAGCAGCCGCGGUAAUACGGAGGAUGCAAGCGUUAUCCGGAAUCAUUGGGUUUAAAGGGUCCGUAGGUGGAUUGGUAAGUCAGAGGUGAAAGCCUGCAGCUCAACUGUAGAACUGCCUUUGAUACUGCUAGUCUUGAAUUAUUGUGAAGUGGUUAGAAUAUGUAGUGUAGCGGUGAAAUGCAUAGAUAUUACAUAGAAUACCAAUUGCGAAGGCAGAUCACUAACAAUAUAUUGACACUGAUGGACGAAAGCGUGGGGAGCGAACGGGAUUAGAUACCCCGGUAGUCCACGCCGUAAACGAUGGUCACUAGCUGUUCGGAUUUCGGUCUGAGUGGCUAAGCGAAAGUGAUAAGUGACCCACCUGGGGAGUACGUUCGCAAGAAUGAAACUCAAA